This 272-nucleotide ribosomal RNA is filed under the name uncultured bacterium. Its description in RNAcentral is "partial 16S ribosomal RNA". It matches the Rfam family "Bacterial small subunit ribosomal RNA", at positions 524 to 794 of the family's 1533-position model. The record is from RNAcentral.
UACGAAGGGUGCAAGCGUUAAUCGGAAUUACUGGGCGGUAAAGAGCGUGUAGGCGGGUAGUUAAGUCAGAAGUGAAAUCCAAUAGCUCAACUAUUGAACUGCUUUUGAAACUGAUUACCUAGAAUAUGGGAGAGGUAGAUGGAAUUUCUGGUGUAGGGGUAAAAUCCGUAGAGAUCAGAAGGAAUACCGAUUGCGAAGGCGAUCUACUGGAACAUUAUUGACGCUGAGACGCGAAAAGCGUGGGAGCAAACAGGAUUAGAUACCCGCAUAGU